AGUGAACGCUGGCGGCGUGCUUAACACAUGCAAGUCGAACGAGAACGGUACUAGCUUGCUAGUAUGUCAGCUAAGUGGCGGACGGGUGAGUAAUGUAUAGUUAAUCUGCCCUUCAGAGAGGGAUAACUACUGGAAACGGUAGCUAAUACCUCAUACUCCUUCUAGUGUAAUGCUAGUUGGGAAAUGUCUUUUCGCUGAAGGAUGAGACUAUAUGGUAUCAGGUAGUUGGUGGGGUAAGAGCCUACCAAGCCUAUGACGCCUAGCUGGUCUGAGAGGAUGAUCAGCCACACUGGAACUGAGACACGGUCCAG
RNAcentral lists this ribosomal RNA (311 nucleotides) under uncultured bacterium. Its description in RNAcentral is "bacterial SSU rRNA". It matches the Rfam family "Bacterial small subunit ribosomal RNA", at positions 29 to 334 of the family's 1533-position model. The record is from RNAcentral.